GUCGUGUCCUUGACCCUUAUCGUAGUGCUUUGAGUCCCACUACUGUAGAGGCUUUAAUUUGUACUCAAAAUUGGUUAAAACCUGCUAAGAUUUUGGUUAAGCUUGAUGAAGGAGAUGCUGCGGUUGAUUCAGAAUUUUCUGGAGUUACUAGUGCUGGAGAUCCUGAAGUUCAAAGUCAAUUACAUCCUCCUGAACCAUCUUAGGAAUACAUUAUUCAUGUUUGCUGCUGAUGGCUGCUGCCUGCUGAUUUAAGAAGGGAUGGCUCAAGUUUAAUUUUUAAGUAGCAAGAAACUUCAUUCUCAAUGUUCUUUCAACAAUCUUAGAUUUUAGUGCCUUAUAAUCUUGGAUCAAGUUGUUUUGUUUCUGCUGAUAGUUGAUAAGCAUUUGCAGAUUUAGAUUGUUUAGAUUUUAGUGGGGUACUAUGUUGCUGUUUUAUUUUAAAUAAUCUUGGAUCAAGUUGUUUUGUUUCUGCUGAUAGUUGAUAAGCAUUUGCAGAUUCAGAUUGUUUAGAUUUUAGUGGAGUACUAUGUUGCUGUUUUAUUUUAAAUAAUCUUGGAUCAAGUUGUUUUGUUUCUGCUGAUAGUUGAUAACUUGAUAAGCAUUUGCAGAUUCAGAUUGUUUAGAUUUUA
Molecule: long non-coding RNA, 629 nt
Organism: Arachis duranensis
Lineage: Eukaryota; Viridiplantae; Streptophyta; Magnoliopsida; Fabales; Fabaceae
Exons: 3
Source: RefSeq, a predicted model, not a curated record